Non-coding RNA from Limanda limanda (common dab), 737 nucleotides. The record is from the annotation of a RefSeq genome assembly. Lineage: Eukaryota; Metazoa; Chordata; Actinopteri; Pleuronectiformes; Pleuronectidae.
AUGUGUAUUUCAUUCCCCUUGAAUAACAGACAGCUCAAGAUAAAUAUUAAGUGUAAAUUGUGGAGUUUUAGGGAAAAAAGUGACUCUUCAGUGGACAGACUGUUGUUCACGGUGCAGGAGGUUUUUGUACGAGCACCUAAUGAGUCUGUAUCACUGUGGAACACUUUCGGUGGAGGAACCAAACUCAACAUUGACUUGGGUGUGGUGCGGCCCACCCUGACCCUCCUCCCCCCUUCCAGUGAAGAGCUGAAGCAGGGCACUGCCACUCUGGUGUGUAUGGCCAGCGGGGGCUUCCCCUCAGCCUGGAGCCUGGGCUGGAAGGUGGGGGGCAGCAGCCGGUCCUCAGGGGUGUCUCACAGCCCGGGGGUCCUGGGGGGGGCUGGCCACUACAGCUGGAGCAGCACCAUGAGCGUCCCUGCAGAUCAGUGGAGGAAGGCGGGCUCAGUGAGCUGUGAGGCCAGUCUGAACGGACAGAGCCCUGUCGCUCAAACCCUGGACCCUGACCUCUGCUCGGAGUAGAGAGACGACCGGGUGGAGUCAUUGUGCUCUACUGUGGGUCCCUUUGAUUUACAUGUGUUCUACUGCAGCUCUGCAUGUCUUCAUGUCUUUUCUUCAACUCAUUAUGACAGUCCAAUGCUGUAUUGUGCUACUUUUGAAAUACAUAUUUCAUGUUCUCGUGUCAUUUUUUUUUCACAUUUCUGUUUUGACUUUACUAAAAUAAAAUAUAUCAUCACUAA